Anopheles merus is the source of this 633-nucleotide long non-coding RNA. RefSeq lists it as uncharacterized. The transcript has 3 exons. The record is from RefSeq and is a predicted model, not a curated record. Lineage: Eukaryota; Metazoa; Arthropoda; Insecta; Diptera; Culicidae.
UCUCCCCACCAGUGCGACGCUCACAAGCGUUACACUUCCCUAACGUUUGUUUUCUGUCUUCCUGAUCGUAACGCCUGCUACUGUCAUUUAGCCACGCGGUUCUAUUGUUAAACGCGACUAGAAUUGUGCAUAUUUUACAUUGUCUUUUCCCCAGGUGUUCUAAAUAAAUUGGUCCCCUCGUAAUCUGAUCGCUAGAUUGCGACUGGACUGCUUAAUACAGUCAAACUCGGGUUUUAGUCCCGUCGGCUGCGCCGAUACAGUUCCCUCUCUCGCUACUCCUGUCUCGCUCCACUGUUCUGGCAGAUCGUCCGGGGAAAACCACACUACCAGCGACGAAUCAUUUCGGUUUUCCGCCAGUUUGCUGUCGUCGACGCUGUCGUGAAGUGACGGAAAUAGUAAACGGACCUGCAAUGGAUCUUUAAAGAAACGAGAAAGCGCUCCAAACAGCUCUAGCAACCCGCGGAUUAAUAUUACUGUUAUCACUGCCCUUGUCUCGCGGUUGCAAGGAAGCUGUAGUUCAUUGUCCCUCCGGAACAAUGUUUGGCUGGGGCAAAUUUGCUGCAGUGUUGCGAAGUGCGGACGGACACCUUGUUCCCGUUUUGUUUCGAUUCCUUUCGUAUCGCACGGGAAGUA